Molecule: long non-coding RNA, 2008 nt
Organism: Parus major (Great Tit)
Lineage: Eukaryota; Metazoa; Chordata; Aves; Passeriformes; Paridae
Source: Ensembl
AUGGGAAUUCUUUGGGAAUUCUGCCAUCCCAGAAGGAGAACCGGAAUAUCCCGGAAAUAUCCCUCGGAGAAUAUCCCGCUGGGAGGAGGGACCCGUCCCCGUGGAUUCCCGGUUUUCCUAAAUGGGCUCCAUCUGGAGGAGGGGUUGUUCCCACUCCCGGACCACCCAGGACAACCCCGUCAGCAAUUCCAAGGCUCCGAACACAUGGAAAAAUUCCAGAAUAAUAAAAGAAGUCCCUCGGAUAACAAAGGAGGAGGGAAAACAUCCCUUGGAGUGAGAAUUUUCCCCAGGGCCCUGUUCCCACUGGGAUCUGAGGAGCUUUUCCUUCUCGGCUGGAAGGCUUCCAGAGCCAGGAUUCCCACUUUUCCAGCUGCUAUCCAGCCGAAUAUUCCAGCUGUGCUCCAGUCCUCCCGCUUCCAGGGGGAAAGAGUUUGGGAAGAGCGCCCCGCUUGUGUCCCAAAGCAAUUCCAAAGCAUGGAUCUGCUGUGGGGCUGCUGGGAUUUCUCCUCCCUGGAAUCCCAGCCGCCCUUUUCCCAAUGGGAAUGGAAAAGGCUGGAAAAAACUCAGGGAUUGCAUCCUCGCUUGACAUCCAGCAAAAAUCCUUGGAGCUGCUCGGAACACCUGGAGCAGCUCCCUCCCACCUGGCAGAGACCUCCUGGAAUCUUGCCUUGGAUUUUAUCUGGAGAGAUACGGAAUUCCUGGAUUGGCUCCGGCUUGUUCUGAUCCCCCCCUCUCCCUCCUCCUCCAGCUUUAGCCUGGAAGCGGCUCCAAGGUUGGAAAAACGGGAAAAGCGGGAGGCAAGGAUGGAAAAUGCCAGUCUGGAAUCCGGACUCCAAGGAAGCAAUUCCCUGCUCCCGUGAAAAGGAGGGAGAUGCCUGGAAGGAACGGGAUAUUUGGGAUGGGAGCUGCUCCUUCCUUCCUUCCCUCUUUUCCAUCUGGGUGGGCGUUCAGCCGCUCCAUGGAAAAAAAAAAUCAUGGAACGGUUUCAGCUGGGUCUUAAUUCCUCCUCUCAUUCCAUGGGCAGGGACAGCUCCCGCUAUCCCGGGGUUCUCCGAGCUGGCCUUGGACAAUUCCCGGGAUCCUGGGGACCCUCUGGGAAUCUGUGCCGGGGCCUGCCCGCCCUCCCAGGGGAUAUUCCCGGUAUUCCAUCCCAGCCUGCUCCCUGCCAGGGGGAGCCGUUCCCCUUCCCUCGGGAAUAAUCUCUCCCGGUUUUUCCUCCUGGAACGGCACAGCUGGACCGUCCUGAAGGGCUGAGCAAUCCCAAAGUCCCGGUUUUUCCUGCCGGCAGUGCUGCUCCAUCCCUCUGAUUAUCCCGGUGCCUCCUCUGGAUUUGCUCCAAGGGCUCCACGUCCUUCCUGUGCCGGGAGCCAGAGCUGGAUGCAGAAUUCCAGCCGGGAUCUCCCUGGAGCAGAGGAGCAGGGACGUGAAAACCCAAACAAUUCCUUUCCCUGCCCUCUGGGAUUCCGCUCCCAUUAAACCCCCGCUAAUUCCCAAAAUUUCAUGGAACAGAAGGUCUCCAAGAGCCUUCCCAGAGCUUCCCAUUCCAGCUCCAUGCCCUUGGGAUGUCUCCAGAGGGAGCCGAGUUCCUCCAAUUCUUUUCCCGCACAGGUGUCCCCCCCUCCGGCUCCAUUGUCCCUCAUCCCAAUCCCGGGAUUUGCCGCCGCUGACGUCACCCAUUCCACGCCCUUUUCCUUCUUCAACCUCAGACUUUGCCUUUUUUUUUUAACCGAUUCCUUCAUUUCCAGAAAUUCCCGUUUUUUUUUUUUUUUAAUUGGUUUUAAUUAAUCAUCUUGGAUCUUCCCUUGGGCGGGAAUUCCGCUCUCCAGGAGACAGCCGGGAUCAGAUUCCUAUGGAAAACAGGAGGUUCUGGAUGCCUUCAGCCGAGGGGGGCUGGGAAAGAAAAUCCUUGCAAAACUGGGAGCCAGGACUUGGAUUUUCCAUGGGAGCCAUCCAAGAAAAUUCAAGGAGCGUGGAACAUCCAAUAAAAAAAUCCUAAAAAAUAUUCCCA